UACGAAGGGGGCUAGCGUUGCUCGGAAUCACUGGGCGUAAAGCGCACGUAGGCGGACUCUUAAGUCGGUGGUGAAAUCCUGGAGCUCAACUCCAGAACUGCCUUCGAUACUGGGAGUCUCGAGUUCGGGAGAGGUGAGUGGAACUGCGAGUGUAGAGGUGAAAUUCGUAGAUAUUCGCAAGAACACCAGUGGCGAAGGCGGCUCACUGGCCCGAUACUGACGCUGAGACGCGAAAGCGUGGGGAGCGAACAGG
RNAcentral lists this ribosomal RNA (253 nucleotides) under uncultured bacterium. RNAcentral describes it as "partial 16S ribosomal RNA". It matches the Rfam family "Bacterial small subunit ribosomal RNA", at positions 524 to 776 of the family's 1533-position model. The record is from RNAcentral.